GUUAAAAAGCUCGUAGUUGGAUUUCUGGUGUGUGAGUAUUGCGUCCUUGAAUGUGUACCGAUGUUCGCCGCCAUCUUGGGGACUACUUUGUAAGGACGUUAAUUCGUUUUUAUGAGUGCCCCUCCUUAACUGUGAAAAAAUUAGAGUGUUCAAAGCAGACAAAAUGUCGUGAAUACAUUAGCAUGGAAUUAUACCAAAAGGUAGGAAUUUGUGAGUCUCACCACUCCUGUUCCCACAAUGAUCAACAGGAUCAAACGAGGGUAGAAGUACUCAAUUGUCAGAGGUGAAAUUCUUGGAUUUUUUGACGACUCCCUAAAGCGAAAGCAUCUACCAAGCAUGUUUCCAUUAAUCAAGAACGAAAGUUAGGGGAUCGAGGAGGAUUAGAUACCCUCGUAGUCUUAACCAUAAACUAUGCCGACUAGGGGUGAGUGGAGUGCCAAACAAUUGUAAUGAUUGGAAGGCCUUUAUUCGAACCUUUCGAGAAAUCAAAGUCUUUGGGUUCCGGGGGGAGUAUGGUCGCAAGGCUGAAACUUAAAGGAAUUGACGGAAGGGCACCACCAGGAGUGGAGCCUGCGGCUUAAUUUGACUCAACACGGGGAAACUCACCAGGUCCGGACAUAGGUAGGAUUGACAGAUUGACAGCUCUUUCUUGAUUCUGUGGGUGGUGGUGCAUGGCCGUUCUUAGUUGGUGGAGUGAUUUGUCUGGUUGAUUCCGUUAACGAACGAGAUGUUUGGUGUGUGUUACAAAUGGUUAGAAUUUUUUCUAGUGGUUUGUUCCUCAUGCGACAAUGUGGGUUUACCACAUGGAAGUUAAACGCAAUAACAGGUCUGUGAUGCCCUUAGAUGUUCUGGGCCGCACGCGCGCUACACUGGUUGGGACAACGGGUAUACAACCUUGCUUGA
RNAcentral lists this ribosomal RNA (903 nucleotides) under uncultured marine eukaryote. RNAcentral's name for it is "bacterial SSU rRNA". It matches the Rfam family "Eukaryotic small subunit ribosomal RNA", at positions 618 to 1536 of the family's 1831-position model. The record is from RNAcentral.